GGAAACUGAUUGUGUUAUCUCUUUGUAACCCAAACACCUGUAAAUCUACUUCACCAAGCUUUGACAGCAUCUGAACACUUAUUGAUCUUAAAAUGGUACAAAAACCUUUACUUGUUUGCCAGUCAACAAAGGUGGUUUAGUCAAAUGGCAUGAAACUUUCAGAAAUAAAGGUAUGAAUACAUUAUGUUAAAUGUCAUAAAAACACCACUGUUAUGGUAUGAAACAACUUCACAAUUUCUAAAGGCUUAUUUUUCAUGCUUUAUACUUGAUGA
Molecule: long non-coding RNA, 272 nt
Filed under: Homo sapiens (human)
Lineage: Eukaryota; Metazoa; Chordata; Mammalia; Primates; Hominidae
Description: HSALNT0044736
Source: RNAcentral